AUACCUUUCUCGGCCUUUUGGCUAAGAUCAAGUGUAGUAUCUGUUCUUAUCAGUUUAAUAUCUGAUACGUGAGCCAUUGGUUCAAAUGAUAUUAAAUUUAUUUUUUGCAAGGGAUGAUCUGUUUCGGUAGCUUGCUACUAUGAUCAUCAAGCGUCGCUUGUGUUUUGCACUACUGCACAGGCCUGGCGCGCCCUCC
Ricinus communis (castor bean) is the source of this 196-nucleotide non-coding RNA. The record is from Rfam. Lineage: Eukaryota; Viridiplantae; Streptophyta; Magnoliopsida; Malpighiales; Euphorbiaceae.